GGUGAGAAAUCAAGAGUGACUCCCAUGUUUUUGGUUCAGCUACAGGAAGAAUGAGGCUCCCAUCAACUGAGAGGAAGAAGACUAUAGGUGGAGCUGGCAUGUGGGGAGAAGAUCAGGAGUUCAGUGAAGGCAUGUUGAGUGUGACCUCCAAGUGGAGCUAUGCAGUGGACAGCUGGAUACACGAGACUGGAGGGCAGUCAUUUGGACAAAAGUGACUGGAUCACAUGCCAACUAUGUUCCCCUGACCCAUUAUGAGCUGCCAACAGACAAUGGGACGGAGAGAAAGCCAACAUGUGAUGUGUCGGAGUCAUGGAGAACACUGAAUAUGGCCAUUUGGACUCAUUUGGUGAAGGACUGGCAGGCCAGCCAGGACAUGCUCUUCUCAUGGUGAUGGCAAAGGCAUGAGAGAGGAAACCCUAUUGCACAAGCACAUUUCCAGCCUCUGUUUGUGUCAUCUACUAGCAUCCCAUUGGACAAGGAGAGUCAAAUAACCAAGUCCAGAGUCAAGGAAUGAGGAGAUACCAUCUGCUAAGGAAUCUACAAGAGGGAAAUAGAUACCUUCAAGGAAAGAAGUUGCUUGUCUAAGGCCCGGGCAAGUUCCAGCAUCAUCGCACAUGGCACGGCUGAAUCAGUGGCUCCCACAAACACUCUGUUGUCCCAAUGGG
Camelus dromedarius (Arabian camel) is the source of this 665-nucleotide long non-coding RNA. RefSeq lists it as uncharacterized. The transcript is spliced from 4 exons. The record is from RefSeq and is a predicted model, not a curated record. NCBI's taxonomy places the organism in Eukaryota, Metazoa, Chordata, Mammalia, Artiodactyla, Camelidae.